This 706-nucleotide long non-coding RNA is filed under the name Homo sapiens (human). RNAcentral describes it as "HSALNT0390675". The record is from RNAcentral. Lineage: Eukaryota; Metazoa; Chordata; Mammalia; Primates; Hominidae.
AGGCCUAAAUGAAUAAAGGCAUGACACUGAGAUUGAAGGCUAGUUCUACUUCAGAACCACAGAGACAUGAGCACCAGCAAGUUUGAGGUUGGAUAAGGAUCUUCAGAACUCCUCAGCUUCAGAUGGUCAAGCACUGCUUCCUCCCUUCUUCAACGGCAUCUCUAGCAUGUAUACUUCCCUUAAAUCCACCUUCGUAGCAUUUGCUGAUGGAAGAGGCACAACAGAGUCCAUGCCUUCACCUCCUCUGGCCAACUCUAAUCAUGAAUCUCCUGUGAAUCAGCUGGGAAACAUGCAGAAUAUGAGAUUGGGGCCCUCAUUCAUACUAACUGGAAUUUUCCUUGGCAAUGGUAGAACAGAAGCUUCUCCAUUCUUUACAGAUGAAUUUGCUUUAAGUAAGAUCUUCCCAGAGUACAAAAGAAAUUUAUUCGGAAAAUUUCAAACUAAUAUCCUUUGCAAGGUGAGCUACACCUCUGAGAGGAGCUCCUGGAAAUUACCAGAUACUUAAUGUUGCCAGCUGUUACAGAUGGAGGUGAUGCACCUUGAUGAUGCAUAAGUACUGAGCCUGAAUCCUACAAAUGGGAAAAGGUGCUCAUAUCAGACUUAUGCAUUAGAUAUCAAACUACAAAAUACAAGUGCAGUUGAUACCUGUUUAGAUGAUGUAGAGCAAGGUAACAGAGUAUGUAUUAAAAGCAAAAAUUCCCAUGAA